CGAGUCUUCUACGCGUCACUAAAAUUCACAAAAACCAAAGACAAAAAAAAUCUUCCUCGUUCAUUCACUCCGUCAAAAAAACAAUCUCACAUCUCCUGCAAAAACACUUCAGUUACCGCCACGUUUAACGGAAUCUCACUGAUUUAAUUUAGGGUUUUCAAUUUCUAUUCAAAUUGUGUCAUGUUCACGCCACAAAGAAGGCCAUCACCGGCGAUCACAUUAACACCGCGAAGCGAUGGCCGUAAAAGCAGCGCCGCCGUUAAUGUAGGGAAAGGAAAAGCGGUGGCGUUUGUUGACGGUCCCUUGCCUCCUCCGCCUACACCGCCGCCGCCUGUGGCGUCUCUGAGUGGAAAUGCUGCAGUGGCAGAGUUGGAAACUGAAGACAUGGACGAUUGGAGGCGGUUUAAGGAGGCUGGUUUAUUGGAUGAAUCGGCUAUGGAGCUUAGACAUAGGCAGGCACUUGCCGAGAGGGUUUCGAGGCUCGAAAAAGAGCUUUAUGAUUAUCAGUAUAAUAUGGGACUUUUGCUAAUUGAGAAAAAAAGCUGGAACAUGGAAUUUGAGGAAUUAAGGCAAGCCUUAGAAGAGACUGAGGAGAUACUCAAGCGCGAACAGUCAGCACACCUAAUCGCAUUUUCUGAAGUUGAGAAGCGUGAGGAAAAUUUACGGAAGGGUUUGAGUGUCGAGAAACAGUGCGUGACUGAACUUGAAAAGGCUCUACGUGAAUUGCAAGAGGAGCGGGCAGAGAUCAAGCAUGCUUCUGAGUCAAAAUUGGCUGAUGCUAAAGCUUUAUCUGUUGGGAUUGGAGAGAAAUCCCUAGCAGUAGAAGAAAAGAUCAGGGCUGCUGAUGCCAAGCUUACUGAAGUCAACAGAAAGAAUGUAGAGUUGGAUAUUAAAUUACAAGAGGUGGAAGCUCGUGAAAGUAGGCUUCAGAGAGACCGCCUCUCCUUAAAUUCUGAGAGAGAAGCACACCAUGCAACUUUCUACAAACAGAGAGAAGAUCUACUUGAGUGGGAGAAGAAAUUAAAGAAUCAGGAUGAGAAGCUAAGCGAGCUUGGGAGUGCCCUCAAGCAGAGUGAAGAAAAGGUGAAUGAAAGUGACAGGAUUUUUGAGCAGAAAGAAAGGGAUCUAGAGGAGGCUGAAAAGAAAAUUGAUAUUUCUUAUGCAAAGUUGAGGGAGAAGGAGGAUGAUAUGAAUAAUCGGCUAGCAGAUUUGGCUGUUAAAGAGAAGAAUGCAGACUUGACAAGAAGCAUUGUAGAGACGAAGGAGAGGGAGUUACUUGCAUUGGAAGAAAAACUUAAUGCUAGAAAAAAUGUGGAAGUCCAGCAGAUCCUCGAUGAGCACAAGGCUACUCUGGCUGCUAAAAUGCAGGAGCUUGAGUUGGAAUUGGAGGACAAGAGGAAAUCUUUCGAUGAAGAGUUGAGAAGCAAGGUAGAGGCAUUGGGGAAGCGUGAAGCUGAGGUUCUUCAUGAGGAAGAGAAGUUGAGGAAACGAGAACAAGCUUUGGAUAAUAAGUCAGAGAGAGUGAAAGUGAAAGAAAAGGAACUUGAAUUGAAUCUGAAAAAUGCGAAGGAGAAAGAGAAGUCUAUAAAGGCCGAGCAGAAAAGAUUGGAGCUUGAACACAAAAAAUUGCUUGCAGAGAGAGAGAGCUUGCUGAAUCUCAAAGACGGCUGUGAGAAGAUAAGAGCUGAAAUUUCUAACCAGGAGCUGCAGAUUGAUGAAGAGAGUAAGAACCUCAAACUAACUAAUGAUGAGAGGUUAGAACACCUGCGGUUGCAGGCAGAACUGAGGCAGGAGCUGGAGAAGUGCAGGCGUCAGGAAGAGUUCCUUUUGAGAGAAGGUGAAGAACUGAAAGAAGAGAGGGAGAAGUUUGAAAAUGAGUUAGAAGUGUUGGAAGGAAAAAAGGUCCAACUGACAAAGGAGUUGAAUGAUUUUACUGAAGAGAGAGAGAAAUUCAAGAAGUUGCAGUGCGCUGCAGAAGAAAGACUAAGGAAAGAGGAACAUGCUGUGAAGGAGGACCGUCAGAGGGUGUUAGAGAAGGUUAAAGCAGAGAAGGAAUCUUUUGAAGCAAUAAAAAAGCACGAGCAACUGGAUAUAUCUAAAAAUGCCAAAACUGAGCAUGAUUUGAUGCUUCAAGACUUAGAAGUGCAAAAGAGCACGCUUGAGGCUGAUCUGAUUAGCAGGCGAGAGGAACUGGAGAAAGGCCUGCGAGAAAGGGAGAGGGCAUUUCAGUUGCAGAGGGAAAGAGAAUUGAAACAAACAAAAAAUAUAAAAGAAGCUGUUCAGAAAGAUUUGGAAGAAGUACGGUCUGAAAGACUUACAUUAGAAAAGGAAAAGCAAGAAGUUGCAAAGAACAAGGAGAAGCUAGAUGAACAGCGGUUUGGAAUGGAAAAAGACAUUCAUGAGCUUGUGAAGCUUAGCAACAAGCUUCGGGUCCAAAGGGAACAUGACAUCAGGGAAAGAAAUCACUUCCUUGCAUUUGUUGAGAAGCGUAAGAGAUGCAAGAAUUGUGAAGAUGUCACUGGGGAGUUUAUACUAUCUGAUCUCAUGCCACUUGAAAUGGAGGAGAAGGAUAUUCUUCUCCUCCAGGGGCCAGCUGAUAAAUUGAGGAAUGUUCAAUAUGCUCCUGGUGUCACAGAUGUCAAUAGAUCUCCGGGUGAACCUGAUUCCAAUUCUCAAGGACGCAUGUCUUGGUUCCAGAAAUGCACCUCAAAGAUUUUUAGCAUUUCCCCCAAAAAGAUUGAACAUGUUUUAGAUCCAACUUUGACGGAUGGAAAGACGGAUGGAACCGGGUCACUUGCCAGCAAAGAAGCUAGUGGGAGUGGUGCUCCUGGAGAUGCAUCUCAUCCAAACCGUGGGACUACAAAUGGUUCCUUGAACAUUCAGCAGUUCCAAUUUGAUGACAUUAAAGUUGAGGGAGAUGGUUGUACUGUGUCUGUUGACGAUCAUAGUAAUAUAGACAGUAAGGUAGAGGAUUCUGGACUAUCAGAGCUUAAGAGUGGUCGGUCUAAACCUGGGAGGAGAAAGAAGACUGGUUUAAGUAGAACACGGUCGGUAAAAGCAGUUGUUGAAGAAGCAAAGUCUUUUCUUGGGAAGAACUCACAAGACCCUGACUAUAUCAGCGAUGAAAGUCGAGGCAUUAGCAGUCAGAUUAAGAAACCAGCAAAAAAGCGGGGACGUGGACCAAUUGAAAGUGGGCGUGCUAGUGAUAGCGAAGGAGUUUCUGACAGUGCUACAACUGGUGGGCGCAGUAAGAGGCGACAAGUGGUGGCUUCAGCCGUUACACCUGGGCAAAAGCGUUACAAUCUGAGGCGACAUAAGAUUGUAGGGACGGACUCUGCCAACCAAGGAUUAUCUGGCUUGAUGAAAACAGAGGAGAAAGAAACUGAUGGUGGUGGUGGUGCUGUAGAAAUAUUACCAAACCCGGAAACUGUUUCUGCACAGUCGCUCGAAGUUGCUAGCGAGACUGACAAAUCUACAGACUUAGUGAAAGUUACAACAGUGAAGCAUGUGGAAUUCUCACAAGAUACGGUAGUUAGGUUCCACAACGAAAACACAGAUGACCAGGCUGAUGCAUUAAGGUCGGUUGAGAUUACGGAAUUAAGCGAGGGAGUAAAUGACGAUACAACAGACUACGGCGAUGUAGAUGAGAAUGGGAGCACAAUCAACGGGGAGGAUGAAGAAGACGAGGACGAGGAAGAUGAUGAGUCAAAGCAUUCUGGUGAAGUUUCAGUGGGAAAAAAGAUUUGGACUUUCUUUACUACAUAGUUGGGGUGCUUGCUUUUAUCCUUUAUCCUUCAUCUUUCACAUUCAAAUUACUUUUACUACUAUAAGUGAUGCCUAAUCAGAUGAAGUUAGGCUCUCCAUGGCAUUGGAAAUGUUUGGUGAAAUGGGUACAUGGAAUAGUUUUAGGAACUGUAAUUUCCAGUUUUAGAAUUCUGUAUAGGAGUAUGACCAAACAGGAAGCCAUGUGGCACCUGCUAAAGGUUAUACUCUUUCUGUGCUAUAAGGAUGAAUAGUUUUAAGAAAUUAAUUGAUUUUAGGUGUUGUAUUUUAAAAUGUUUAUCGUUUUGAAUUCAUUUUUUUUAAUGCUUAAUCAACAAUCAUUUUCUA
This is an RNA transcript of Mercurialis annua (annual mercury), 4110 nucleotides long. It is a transcript of the gene named nuclear matrix constituent protein 1, with no coding region annotated. Lineage: Eukaryota; Viridiplantae; Streptophyta; Magnoliopsida; Malpighiales; Euphorbiaceae. The transcript is spliced from 9 exons. The record is from RefSeq and is a predicted model, not a curated record.